UGGAUAGCCUAUACUCACAGGAGGAGGCAAAGUAUAGGAAAGGGUGUACAGAGAAGCAGUGAAAAAGAAACUGACAACCCCAACCAGAGAUGAUCCUGAAGAUCCUUCCAGGGUGGGAUGUCCUGGCCAGGGACACAGUGUGAUGUCGCCAGCAGGGAACAACCAGCUUCCGUGGCUGCACCCGCCGAAGAACACAGUUUGACCCGGGCCUCUGCACUGGUGCACACAUCCUUCAUUGUAAAGACAUGGAAAGAAGGAAAUGAAACACUUGAUGUGCCAGGAAGGAAAGCUCUCUCGUUGUCCCAUCUGAGAACACAAAGUUUAUAAAUAGAAUCAUCCCCAGCAUCAAACAUGAGGACAUCAAACACACAGGCAUACUGGCCUCGCCUGUUUAUCCCAGACUCUACACACCAUCCAGUCCCUUCUGGAGAAGACCGGAACCCGCCGUGGGCAUCCAGCAGCCUUAUGCCCUUUCCCUUGUCCGUCUUUGAUUUUCUCUUUCCCUUACGGCUUGAAAAU
This 519-nucleotide long non-coding RNA is filed under the name Mustela putorius furo (domestic ferret). RNAcentral's name for it is "lncRNA (ENSMPUG00000025394.1)". The record is from RNAcentral. Lineage: Eukaryota; Metazoa; Chordata; Mammalia; Carnivora; Mustelidae.